UGAGUCCCAUUACUGAUCAUGAGAGUGAAGAGAUCAAUGUCUGCUCCUCUGCUUCUCCUCACGAGGGUGAUGAAGACUGCCAUGGCCUGCCCUGGAGUAGUGUGACAUGGGUGCACAUCACCUGGAGCUUGGAUAGUUCCCUCUGGGUCCUGGGGACAGCGGGAGGUGGCAGUGCUGUCUUGGAGCUCAGGCUGGUUCCUGCUGGUCUGGAGGAGCUCCCUGGGGCCGGGCCCAGCACAGGCCUCCAUAGCCCUGUGCUGUGCUCCCUCAGGGGUUUCCAGGCAUGGUGAGGCACCCUCAGCCCUGGGAUGGGCAUCAGGCCUGCGGUGCUGUGGGACAGCCCAAAAAUGCCUUCAGCAGCCUCAGUGGUAGCCAAAGGUGGCCCCAGCAUGUGCUGGCUCUGCUUGGCCACAGUGCAGGGAGCACGAAUGGGACAGUCUCCCUCUUGUCCCUGCACUGCAGGGGCCAAAUCUUCAGAACCCCCUGCUCUGACCUGGACCAUUCCCAGGAGGGGAACACAAUGAUCAGCACAAGAUGCUAA
RNAcentral lists this long non-coding RNA (541 nucleotides) under Cyanistes caeruleus (blue tit). RNAcentral describes it as "lncRNA (ENSCCEG00000018061.1)". Lineage: Eukaryota; Metazoa; Chordata; Aves; Passeriformes; Paridae. The record is from RNAcentral.